Non-coding RNA from Labrus bergylta (ballan wrasse), 215 nucleotides. Lineage: Eukaryota; Metazoa; Chordata; Actinopteri; Labriformes; Labridae. The record is from RefSeq and is a predicted model, not a curated record.
UGGAGCAGCGACUCUGGUGAGCAUGAUCCUGGGUGCUUUGACUCUUUUGCUUGUCAUGGUGGUCAUCGGUCUGGGUGCUAAAAUUAGGAAACUUCAGACAGCUGCUGAAGAAAGACAGAAUCCAGGACACACUGAGAAUGUGACCUCUGAUGAACUGAACUACGCAGCAGUGACAUUUCGAUCUAAAGCCAAAAGAAGAGAGCCGGAGCCAAAUG